This is a long non-coding RNA of Mus musculus (house mouse), 2163 nucleotides long. RefSeq annotates it as predicted gene, 34107. Lineage: Eukaryota; Metazoa; Chordata; Mammalia; Rodentia; Muridae. The transcript has 6 exons. The record is from RefSeq and is a predicted model, not a curated record.
AGCAGCAGCAGCAGCAGCAGCAGCAACAGCAGCAGCAGCAGCAGCGGCAGCAAACCCCCUGGCUUCCCUGUCUAUGAAAAGAAGGAGGAUCACCCUACUCUUCUCCUGGGACUCACUCUGAAUGGAGUAACCAUCUAUCAAGAUGUAGACAACACUCCAUAGCUGCUCUACGACUUUCCCUGGUCACUUCUUUCAAAGGUGACAUUUCUGGUGGGCGUCUGAAGGGGCAAGGCAUCUAUAAACUCAGGAGUCCAAAGAAUCCUGGACCCAACAACCUCAUCCUCACCAACGCCAUCCAGAGCUCCCUGAGUUUCUCCACACCCUCAGGCAUCUCUCAGUCCCCACAUCCAGGUCUGGUAUUGAACUCACAGUGGUAUUUAACUCUCUGAUUGAGGUACAGCUCUGAAUGCCAACAAUGCCCCACUCACCAACAAAAGGAAUAACCAUGGUACCUUAGAGAUACAACUGUUAGCCUCUGUCACUCUUCCACAUUCCCUAAGACAUGACAGUGGGGAUUGGUGUACAGCAGAAUGGCCCCAAACACUGAUUAUGGUUCACUACAAACCCUGCAUGCCAGACUUGUGUACAGCCAUAAGUAGGGGGGUCCUAGAUAGAAGGGCUGGCCCAGGUUUCUUCUGCAUUCUUAAGGCUGCAGAAGGAUGGUACUCACAGUGACCUGAGACCUGUUUGCACAGGGUCACCAGUUCUCAACCCUGGAAAUGUGGGGCCAGAACCAAGUAGGGGCUUAUGAUUGACAUUCAUGUAUUUCUCUCCUGCUUCUGGCACAGUUUUCUGGACUGUAAAAUCACAUUGUCCUUCCUGUCUGUCCAGAAUGGCUUUCGGCAACACAGAAGCUAUUUUUCUACACGGGCCAUACCUGGCGCUCCCGUUUCCUGCUGCAACUGCCCUGCUUUGCACUACCCAUUGGUUUCACCUCAGCUUGGAGCCUGUGCUGCAGUGGCUACAAAAGCUGGAGGAGGCAGAAAGCAGAGAAGAAGAGCGAUCAGGAAUCCUAUAUCAGUGACCUGCUGGAGCUAAACCUGGACCUGGAAGCAAGCAGCAGGAACUCCCUGGGUAAUGAGGACAAUAAGAGCAGCACACAGCAUCUCCACUGCCUCUCAUUCUGCUCCAAAAGCCAUGGCAGCUCCCACACAGCAGGCAUCAAGCCUAAAACCCAGCAGGGAUAAUGUGAGAUAUCUGGGAUGAGCCCACAGGGACCUCAAGGUUCUGUGGAAGGACAUCCAGUGGUUCCUCGAGCAGCUGCAGCAGCCAGGACUCAUGGAACUACAGUGGAGGUGACCUAUAGGACUAGCAGCCACCCAGAGACCUUUGCAGAACUGUGGGUCAUGCUAAUGAGAAUGAGGGGCCAGAGGUCACAUCCCAGGGCUGCUACCAGACAACUCAGGACCUAUGAAACUUGAGUUCCCACCACCAUAGGGCACCAGAGAGACUACACUAGAGGCCCUGUGAAACCUAGGUAGAGUACAAUGUGCAUGACUCUACUAUCUGUGUGGUAUGUGUAGCGUCUUCAGAGCAGAACCUAAAGUUUGUCAUGGCUAAGUCUGUCAUGGCUGAAAAGCAUAACUUUGCCCAUCAAUGUGGAACAACUGUCAAUUGAUAGAACCCAGAGAGUCAGUGGACAAGUUUAAGUCAAAGGUGGCCCUCCUUAAAUUCUCAGAUGCUUCCAGGGUAGUGUAUAGCGACCACAUCCAGAGCCAUUUCUGAAAGAUAUAAGUGCAAAAAGAUGACAAUGGGGUGGGAAUUCUUAUCAGGCCAGCAUCCCUUGGUUCCAGUGGGGACCCAAAGAGGUCAUAUACCAAGGCAUGGAGGCUGUCUAGAACAUCUAGGAUGUUUCAGAGUUACACAAGAGCCCACGGCCCAGCCUGGAAAAAACCCUAAAGUAUCAGAAUUAUCAGCGAUUCUAAGGUAGGGUGGGAUAUGGACUAAUGAAUGCUCAGGUGGUUGAAGGAAUCAGCCCAAGGUAAACUUCAGGGAAGUGUGUUGUGAGAGCUAAGACAGGGCAUACCAACAGGAUGGCCUAUCAGACCCAGGAUAGAUAGCCUAUGCCAGAAUUAGAACUGUCUGGGUAGAGCUGGCUUCUGUGGCUGUAGGAGCACUGAAAGCACAUAUGCAGGAGGACUCCCAGCAUACUCUUAUAUCUCU